This 253-nucleotide ribosomal RNA is filed under the name uncultured bacterium. RNAcentral describes it as "partial 16S ribosomal RNA". It matches the Rfam family "Bacterial small subunit ribosomal RNA", at positions 524 to 776 of the family's 1533-position model. The record is from RNAcentral.
UACAGAGGCCCCAAGCGUUGUUCGGAUUCAUUGGGCGUAAAGGGUGCGUAGGCGGUGUCGCAAGUCGAAUGUGAAAUCCCGGAGCUCAACUCCGGAACUGCAUUCGAUACUGCGGCACUCGAGGAUUGUAGGGGAGAGUGGAAUUCACGGUGUAGCAGUGAAAUGCGUAGAUAUCGUGAGGAAGACCAGUGGCGAAGGCGACUCUCUGGGCAACUCCUGACGCUGAGGCACGAAGGCUAGGGUAGCGAACGGG